This 45-nucleotide non-coding RNA is filed under the name Schistosoma mattheei. Lineage: Eukaryota; Metazoa; Platyhelminthes; Trematoda; Strigeidida; Schistosomatidae. The record is from RNAcentral.
AUCCAGCUGACGAGUCCCAAAUAGGACGAAACAAGCGUUCUGAAU